Molecule: ribosomal RNA, 207 nt
Filed under: uncultured bacterium
Lineage: Bacteria
Description: partial 16S ribosomal RNA
Rfam family: Bacterial small subunit ribosomal RNA
Source: RNAcentral
CUCGUAGGCGGUUCGUCGCGUCCGGUGUGAAAGUCCAUCGCUUAACGGUGGAUCCGCGCCGGGUACGGGCGGGCUUGAGUGCGGUAGGGGAGACUGGAAUUUCCGGUGUAACGGUGGAAUGCGUAGAUAUCGGGAGGAACACCAGUGGCGAAGGCGGCCUACUGGGCACCAACUGACGCUGAGGCUCGAAAGUGUGGGUAGCAAACA